Trichonephila clavipes is the source of this 83-nucleotide non-coding RNA. Lineage: Eukaryota; Metazoa; Arthropoda; Arachnida; Araneae; Nephilidae. The record is from the annotation of a GenBank genome assembly.
GUCCUUGUAGCGCCAUGGAGAGCGCGCGCGCGCGCUUUGGACUUCUAAUACGAAGGUCGUGGGUUUGAAGCCCAUCUGGGAUG